CAAUAGCGUAUAUUAAAGUUGUUGCGGUUAAAAAGGCUCGUAGUUGGAUUUCUGGCAGGAUGACUUUGCCCUCUGUAGAGUGCGCAAUGCUGUCCUACCAUCCUUCUGUUAACCCUGGAGGCCUUUAACAGCUUGUAGGGGGCUCAGAUAUUUUACCUUGAGAAAAAUUUAGAGUGUUUCAGGCAGGCUAGCGCCGGAAUACAUUAGCAUGGAAUAAUAGAAUAGGACUUUUGCCUCUUCUGUUGGUCUGAGGGGUGUAAGUAAUGAUUAAUAGGGAUAGUUGGGGGCAUUAGUACUUAACUGUCAGAGGUGAAAUUCUCGGAUUUGUUAAAGACUAACUUAUGCGAAA
RNAcentral lists this ribosomal RNA (349 nucleotides) under uncultured eukaryote. RNAcentral's name for it is "bacterial SSU rRNA". It matches the Rfam family "Eukaryotic small subunit ribosomal RNA", at positions 592 to 950 of the family's 1831-position model. The record is from RNAcentral.